UACAGAGACUGCGAGCGUUAUUCGGAUUCACUGGGCGUAAAGGGUGCGCAGGCGGCCGAGUGUGUGAGGCGUGAAAGCCCGGGGCUUAACCCCGGAAUUGCACCUCAAACUACACGGCUAGAGCAUUGGAGAGGGUAGCGGAAUUCACGGUGUAGCAGUGAAAUGCGUAGAUAUCGUGAGGAACACCAGAGGCGAAGGCGGCUACCUGGACAAUUGCUGACGCUCAGGCACGAAAGCGUGGGGAGCAAACGGG
RNAcentral lists this ribosomal RNA (253 nucleotides) under uncultured bacterium. RNAcentral describes it as "partial 16S ribosomal RNA". It matches the Rfam family "Bacterial small subunit ribosomal RNA", at positions 524 to 776 of the family's 1533-position model. The record is from RNAcentral.